AACCUGAGAACAUAACCAGGAAACUAUAGAGACAUCACUUCUCUGCAGGGCUGCUGUGAAUGCUUCCUCGAAUUUGCGCUCAGCUAUCAAUCUGGUUAAUUCUUUUGUUGGAUCCAAAGGAGCCUCAGCCAUCUCAUGUAAACCAGCCAGUGGUCCAUUACUCAAAGAGGGAUUUCCCAAUUUGGAGUUUGCACCUGCAGCUGCAAUAGCUAAGAGCUUGUGUUGGCCCUCGGCUAAUUCUCCACUCAGGGUCUGAGUGAUUGAUGAUG
Molecule: unclassified non-coding RNA, 269 nt
Filed under: Hevea brasiliensis (rubber tree)
Lineage: Eukaryota; Viridiplantae; Streptophyta; Magnoliopsida; Malpighiales; Euphorbiaceae
Source: RNAcentral